GACUUUGUACAACGCCCUUUGAUAGAUAUUUGUUCUUGAGCUUCUUCGUUUUUGCACCAAAAGACAAGCAGGAUGUCUUGCAGCUGCGGAUCAAGCUGCAACUGCGGCUCAAGCUGCAAGUGCGGGUAAGCUAGCUAGUCAUCACUCUCUUUACCUGGCUAAUCUCUUGUUUACUUAGUUUCUUUUCCUUUGAUUGAAUGAAUUCAAAUCAAAAAGUAUAUAGUUCGUUUGCUGUUCGUUUGUAGCUACUAUAUGUCUCUUCACAACAAACAUGGAAAACAUACAUCUGAACCUGUCCGGCUGAAGAAUAAUUAUUGAACUUCUCUACAACUAGUAUUAUAAGUUUGUUUGUUAAUUUUGGGUCCGUCCGUUGACUACCUGCAGCAAGAAGUACCCCGACCUGGAGGAGAAGAGCACCGCGGCGCAGGCCACCGUCGUCCUGGGUGUCGCCCCGGAGAAGACAGCUGCUGCCGAGUUCGAGGCCGCGGCGGAGUCCGGCGCCGAGACCUCCCACGGCUGCAGCUGCGGUGACAGCUGCAAGUGCAACCCCUGCAACUGCUGAUCGACCGACGACCACACAUGGGGAACGAAGACCGACGAUAUGCAUGCUGCUGCUUAUUUGAUGGUGAUAUCGAUCUUGUGCCGGCGACGUACGGUACUACUAGCUACUACACUACAUGUAGUGCUCUGCAAUUGUGUUAUUGUGUGUGACGUAUGUAACUGAUGGUUGAACAAUAAGGACGAG
RNAcentral lists this long non-coding RNA (745 nucleotides) under Sorghum bicolor (sorghum). RNAcentral's name for it is "long non-coding RNA (SBIC_LNC009771)". The record is from RNAcentral. Lineage: Eukaryota; Viridiplantae; Streptophyta; Magnoliopsida; Poales; Poaceae.